Molecule: long non-coding RNA, 720 nt
Organism: Triticum dicoccoides
Lineage: Eukaryota; Viridiplantae; Streptophyta; Magnoliopsida; Poales; Poaceae
Exons: 2
Source: RefSeq, a predicted model, not a curated record
CACCCACGGGCCGUAUUGAACUCUAAAUCGGUCGACUCUCCCGUAACCCAACCCCAGCCCACGCGCGAAGAUCUCUCUUCGUCUUGCACGGCCUCGAAGGGAGACCUAGAUCUAUUUUUGCCCCUAUAUAUGCUGGUCAGACCGAGAGCAAACCUCAAAUCCCAGCCCUGAAACCCUAGCCGCAAUCUGCCUCGACUUCUUUCCAACCUUCAUCCAUGGGACUUAUUGGUUUAGGGACUUAAAAAAGUCCCUAAGUCCCAUCUAAACCAAACAGAGGGACUUAUAGGGACUUAAAUUGGGCACUUGGGACUUAUGAAAUAAGAAUCUCAAGGAUGUAGGGACUUAUAGUUGUAAUAUGGUUUUUUUAGUCCAUCUUAAGUCUCAGGAACCAAACAGGCAGGGAAUUUUUAGGGACUUAGUUGGGACUAAAAAAAUCCUAGUACUUGUGAACCAAACAGGGCCUCAAUUUAUUCCGGAAUCUGGAUUCUGCCGCAGCUUCUGCUAGACCUUCAUAUGUUGAUAAAGUUGGUGGACUGCUGCACGCCCUAAAGCUGUCUGAUCUCCAUGUCCUCGACUGAGCAGUGCUUGGUUAAAUAAUUGCUGAAUUGAUUUUGGCUGCUGGUCUAACUUGGUCAUGCAUGGCAUAUCAAGGGAAAGAGCUGUAAUUUGUUUGGAAGUUGUGACUUUUUGGGUUUGUUAUUCAGAGGUCUGUACUCAUGA